This 91-nucleotide transfer RNA is filed under the name Klebsiella quasipneumoniae. RNAcentral describes it as "tRNA-???(ac)". Lineage: Bacteria; Pseudomonadati; Pseudomonadota; Gammaproteobacteria; Enterobacterales; Enterobacteriaceae. The record is from RNAcentral.
GCUGGCGGCUUCGGCAGAUGGCCGGGCGACUACCAUUGCCCCUGCGCCGCCGGCGAGCAGCCGUCCGGCGUUCAACCCGCCGCUGCCGGUU